UACGAAGGGUGCAAGCGUUACUCGGAAUUACUGGGCGUAAAGCGUGCGUAGGUGGUUUGUUAAGUCUGAUGUGAAAGCCCUGGGCUCAACCUGGGAAUUGCAUUGGAUACUGGCAGGCUAGAGUGCGGUAGAGGGUAGUGGAAUUCCCGGUGUAGCAGUGAAAUGCGUAGAUAUCGUAAGGAAGACCAGUGGCGAAGGCGGGUCUCUGGACAGUUCCUGACGCUGAGGCACGAAGGUCAGGGGAGCAAACGGG
Molecule: ribosomal RNA, 253 nt
Filed under: uncultured bacterium
Lineage: Bacteria
Description: partial 16S ribosomal RNA
Rfam family: Bacterial small subunit ribosomal RNA
Source: RNAcentral